Molecule: ribosomal RNA, 500 nt
Filed under: uncultured bacterium
Lineage: Bacteria
Description: bacterial SSU rRNA
Rfam family: Bacterial small subunit ribosomal RNA
Source: RNAcentral
AACGAACGCUGGCGGCAUGCCUAACACAUGCAAGUCGAACGAGACCUUCGGGUCUAGUGGCGCACGGGUGCGUAACGCGUGGGAAUCUGCCCUCAGGUACGGAAUAACUCAGGGAAACUUGAGCUAAUACCGUAUAAUGACUUCGGUCCAAAGAUUUAUCGCCUGGGGAUGAGCCCGCGUCGGAUUAGCUAGUUGGUGAGGUAAAGGCUCACCAAAGCGACGAUCCGUAGCUGGUCUGAGAGGAUGAUCAGCCACACUGGGACUGAGACACGGCCCAGACUCCUACGGGAGGCAGCAGUGGGGAAUAUUGGACAAUGGGCGCAAGCCUGAUCCAGCAAUGCCGCGUGAGUGAUGAAGGCCUUAGGGUUGUAAAGCUCUUUUACCCGGGAAGAUAAUGACUGUACCGGGAGAAUAAAGCCCUGGCUAACUCCGUGCCAGCAGCCGCGGUAAUACGGAGGGGGCUAGCGUUGUUCGGAAUUACUGGGCGUAAAGCGCACGUA